This 50-nucleotide non-coding RNA is filed under the name Schistosoma mattheei. The record is from RNAcentral. Lineage: Eukaryota; Metazoa; Platyhelminthes; Trematoda; Strigeidida; Schistosomatidae.
ACUUGCCUGUACUAACGAGUCCCAAAUAGGACGAAACGCGCGUGGUGGAU